ACUGUUGUUAAGGAACUCGGCAAAAUGACCCCGUAACUUAGGGAUAAGGGGUGCCACCAUCAGGUGGCCGCAGAGAAUAGGCCCAAGCGACUGUUUACCAAAAACAGAGGUUUCUGCUAAGUCGCAAGACGAUGUAUAGGGGCUGACGCCUGCCCGGUGCUGGAAGGUUAAGGGGAUCUGUUAGAGCAAUCGAAGCAGUGAACUUAA
RNAcentral lists this ribosomal RNA (207 nucleotides) under Clostridioides difficile. Its description in RNAcentral is "partial 23S ribosomal RNA". It matches the Rfam family "Bacterial large subunit ribosomal RNA", at positions 1698 to 1916 of the family's 2925-position model. The record is from RNAcentral. Lineage: Bacteria; Bacillati; Bacillota; Clostridia; Peptostreptococcales; Peptostreptococcaceae.